Molecule: microRNA precursor, 89 nt
Filed under: Canis lupus familiaris (dog)
Lineage: Eukaryota; Metazoa; Chordata; Mammalia; Carnivora; Canidae
Also listed under: 1 other name
Description: mir-8799 microRNA precursor family
Rfam family: mir-8799 microRNA precursor family
Source: Rfam by way of RNAcentral
CGGGGGAGGCCGGAUCCUGGGCUGUGUCCGGGCGCCCUGUGCUCCGGGGCCUGCGCUGUUGGAUUCGCGCUCCCGCCCCGCAGCCCCCU